This 1192-nucleotide long non-coding RNA is filed under the name Panax ginseng (ginseng). RNAcentral describes it as "long non-coding RNA (PGIN_LNC016430)". The record is from RNAcentral. Lineage: Eukaryota; Viridiplantae; Streptophyta; Magnoliopsida; Apiales; Araliaceae.
AUAACCAAAAAAUAAUAAUCUUAGCUUAAAAAUGUCUCUGUUUUCAAGUAUUUUCAGCUGCUUCUUCAUCCAAACCUCUUCUUCUUCCUGGCGGAUAAACGAUAUUAGUGUAUCCUCUGCAAAUCCACCUUCUUUAAUGGAGAGAUCCGAAUUAAGCAAGGCGAAAUCGAAAGGGGCACCGAUAAUAGUUUCUUUUUUUCCCGUUGGCUCAAAUCUCUCGCGAUUAUAGAGUACUUACAUUGGAUUGUCGAUCAGUUGUAUUUCCGGCUUAAUUCUGGAUGGUAACAUCUUUGAAGAUGAGCUUAAUUUUCUAGCAAAAAUCAAGGCGAAAAUGCAGCGUGUUCUUCUUAAUGAAAAAUUCCGCCUCACAUGAAUAGUAAAUAAGAGUCAUCGUUUAGUGCGUUCUUGUUGAUGAAAAAGCUUGCUCGGAGAGGAGAUGGUCUGUGAUGGAAGCCAAAAAUUAAAGACUGAAAAAAGGCAUAUAUUGUCGUCCUACUCUCUUUGUUUCGUGCCAUGGAUAUUGUAUUCGAUCUGUUGUUUAAGUGGCUUAAUUUGCUACGGCCUCGUACUUUCAUGUUAAAUUAUCAAAUAAUUAGUGCUCCCUCGUGUUGUUGUGUUUCAUUCUUGUGGUGCUAUGCUAUGCGAUAGACACGUAAUUCAUAUAUUUUACUAUCCUUAAUUUUAUCCUUUUAAUUAUAUUAGUUUAUUAAAUUAAUAUGUUUUAUUUUAUUUUGUAAGAUUUAAUGUUUGUUGCAAUGAAGUCAAAAUAUUGGUGAUCAAGGGAUAUUUAAUGCUUUUAUUCAUAUAAGAAUAUCCAAGAAGAAUCCUACAAGGUGUAGGAAAGAGGUUGAACAAUCUUGGUGUACAAGUCAAAUCCAACAAGAGAAGGGAAAGAAUAUCUAGAAGAUCUUUUUGAGAAGUUGAUUGGAAACAAAACUGUCCAAGUUCAAUGAAUGUAAAUUAGGGUUCAAAGUUAUUUUCCCUAUAAAUAGGCAUCUUGUAUUAGAGAGAAGGAGAUCACUUGUUAUUUUAUUUUUCUUAGUUUUUCACUAGUGUAGGAGGGAGAAGAUAUUUAGAGUUUGUCUCUCUUAUUCCAAUCACGUGUGGAACAUACUGUCCGGGAGUAUUUAUAAUUUUCUUUUUAUUUAUAUAAUAGAAAUUCUCUUUUUAAUUAUUGUUCUUAUUUCAUGCA